RNAcentral lists this ribosomal RNA (450 nucleotides) under uncultured bacterium. RNAcentral describes it as "partial 16S ribosomal RNA". It matches the Rfam family "Bacterial small subunit ribosomal RNA", at positions 338 to 795 of the family's 1533-position model. The record is from RNAcentral.
CCUACGGGGGGCAGCAGUAAGGAAUAUUGGUCAAUGGGUGCAAGCCUGAACCAGCCAUGUCGCGUGAAGGAUGACGGCCCUAUGGGUUGUAAACUUCUUUUGUACGGGAAAAAACCUCUGGUCGUGAAUCAGAGCUGAUGGUACCGUAAGAAUAAGCAUCGGCUAACUCCGUGCCAGCAGCCGCGGUAAUACGGAGGAUGCAAGCGUAAUCCGGAUUCAGUGGGUGCAAACGGUGCGCUAGGGGAGUGGUGAAAGCCUACAGCUUAACUGUAGAACUGCCAUUGAUACUGUUAUUCUUGAGUGUUGUUGAGGUAGGCGGAAUGUGUCAUGUAGCGGUGAAAUGCUUAGAUAUGACACAGAACACCGAUCGCGAAGGCAGCUUACCAAGCAACAACUGACGCUCAUGCACGAAAGCGUGGGGAUCAAACAGGAUUAGAUACCCUGGUAGUC